Long non-coding RNA from Pyrus x bretschneideri (Chinese white pear), 862 nucleotides. RefSeq lists it as uncharacterized. NCBI's taxonomy places the organism in Eukaryota, Viridiplantae, Streptophyta, Magnoliopsida, Rosales, Rosaceae. The transcript is spliced from 8 exons. The record is from RefSeq and is a predicted model, not a curated record.
CUACGGGCACAAUGACCUUGAAACUUGGGUUGGUUUGAUCUGGGUUUUCAAGUAAGUACUGCAGGGAAGUGUUGGCUGCUGCUGCUCCGCUCCCUCAACGCUCAUUUUUUACACAUCGCAUCGUCGAUCCGAUCCCGGCUCCAAUCCGCCAAACAGGAGAUCCGGUUUUUCGGGUUUCUGACGUUUCUUUGCAGCCUGCGAAGGCCUCUGUAUUUAAGCUGAAAUAGCUAAAGUUGAGAAUGUUGGAUCUGUUGCCUUAGGGAAGAAAUUUUAAACCUACAAAAGCUUGGUUUUCAGGAAAUCGCCAAUCCUGCAGACACUUUGGGUUUCCUGCUUUCUCACCAGAGAUCUCCGCCAUCACUGCUCCACCAAACUCGCUGAUAGCGUCCACUCUCUCAAACCAGAUCUUUGAGAGGACACCCAUCAUUUGGCUGAUUGCAUAGGAUUGCUACAUCUGAACACUGUACAGGCCUCUUGAAUUUUGAAUUGUGAUUGAAAAUUGGAGUCCGCACAUGGAGUAUAGGAGGUGCGGCUUUUCGUAUUUUUGGCCUUUUUUAUCAGCUGUUGUAACAUUUUUGUAAUAGAGGGAGCGCUGAUGUACUGAUUUUAUGGGAUUUUUUUUUUCCUUGCAGGAUUUUGGGUCUUUGAAAUGGUUACGUGUUGUUUUUAACUUUUUGGUUCUCCUGUGUUUUGUUCUUCAUUGCUUCGUGAUUCUCAUUUUUCAGUAUUGGGUAAUGGAAAUUUGUAAAAAUAGUCGUAGUUUUUUUUAGAAAGUUGGCAUUUUUAGUUAUAUUUUAUGUUUAAUCCCAAAUGUAAGACUGGAAAAUAAUUGAAAUGAUGGUUUAUUAAAAACUCCUCUUAA